This 1507-nucleotide long non-coding RNA is filed under the name Anolis carolinensis (green anole). RNAcentral describes it as "lncRNA (ENSACAG00000037428.1)". The record is from RNAcentral. Lineage: Eukaryota; Metazoa; Chordata; Lepidosauria; Squamata; Anolidae.
AUGCCAGCUGUUAAAUUAUCUUCCUUUGCUCCUCACUGUUUACAAUCCCACCACCCACAUAUAGAUUUAUCAAUAGAGGUAACACCACUCAUCUGGCAAAGGAACAGAGUGUUCACAAAAGUCUACAGUAAAAUGCAAUUUAUUUGCUUUAUGGUACAAUGUGUUGUCGAAGGCUUUCAUGGCCGGGAUCACAGGGUUGUUGUAUGUUUUCUGGGAUGUAUUGGCAUGUUCCAGAAGUAUUCUCUCCUGACAUUUCGCCCAUAUCUAUACAUCACAACCUCUGAGGAUGCCUGCCAUAGAUGUGGGCGAAACAUCAAGAGAGAAUACUUCUGGAACAUGGCCAUACAGCCCGGAAAAUAUGCAACAACCCAAUUAAAGUGAUGUCAAACUGCAUUAAUGCUAGGGUGUAGAUAUACCCUAAACCAUACAUUUCCUCAUUAAUCUCCCUCUUUAUCAUAUAGACCUAGAGAUCAUUAAAAACAAUGACAAUGCCUUUUAUUUUUUUAAAAAAAAGUUCCAGAAUAUAAUGUGGAUCUCCAACAUUUAAAAACAAAUGAAGAUUUAAAAAAAAUCACAGUGUUUUCCCCAUGUAUCCUAAAAGAUAAUAGAUAAAAGGUAAAAAGAAGCAAAUGAUUGAUUGUUCAAAUGAUUGAUUGUAAUCAGAUAAAAUAAUCUGAUGGUAUUUCAACAUGCAAAAAGAUUUCCUCCAAAAGUUUAUGAUAUCAGUAGCCGUCAGCUGAAUUAUAGUCUAGUCAUUAAUCUCUUCUAUUAUUAUAGAAUGAAGUGAUGGUAAAUGCAUUUCCCUUUCAACCUGCUUUAGUGAAACUGAUGAAGGGUCUAUUUGACAAUGCAGUUUCUGGCCACAGUCAAGAUUUGAGCGUUUAGCUGGUACUCAAUCCACAUGGAGAAAAAAAGUCACUGUUUUCUAAGGUCUGGGGAAGCCUAUAGACAUCUAUAGAUAUAGGCUUAUCUACGUCAGAUGUCCAGAUAUUAUAUGUUAAUGAGAACAUGACAAAGCUGCAGACACUUCCAUCACACAGUUCCUUUUUAAAUAUGGAACACUUGAGGGGACUUUUGUGGUCGCUGUUAACAGACUUUGCAUUGCUAUACUCACUAAUAGAGAUGUGUGCAGUAUUUGUCUCAUUUGUUUUAUUCAUGUUUCUGUUUUAUAUCAUCCAUUCAGAUGGCGCAAUACAGAAAGACCCCCAACAAAGCAAAAACUGACUCAAAACGAAAGGCAGGUGGGAGCCAAUAUUGGCUCCAAGCCUACCUUUCAGAUCAAAGCUACCGGGCCUAUGGGUGCAGGCUUUGGGCCUACAUACCUGGGCCUCGCAGGGCCUGCAGACAAUUGCAGAGUAAGGAGCGCUCCUUAUUCAGCAAUUGGCUGGGCCUUGCAGGGCCUUGCAGCCGUUUGCCGAGUGAGGAUUGCUCCUUACUCAGCACUCAACUGUAAGUCCUGCGAGACCCGGGUGCCUAGGCCCAAAGCCUGCACCUGUAGGCCUGGGUA